Molecule: transfer RNA, 76 nt
Filed under: Letharia columbiana
Lineage: Eukaryota; Fungi; Ascomycota; Lecanoromycetes; Lecanorales; Parmeliaceae
Description: tRNA-Arg
Rfam family: tRNA (bases 9-64)
About the family: Transfer RNA (tRNA) molecules are approximately 80 nucleotides in length. Their secondary structure includes four short double-helical elements and three loops (D, anti-codon, and T loops). Further hydrogen bonds mediate the characteristic L-shaped molecular structure. tRNAs have two regions of fundamental functional importance: the anti-codon, which is responsible for specific mRNA codon recognition, and the 3' end, to which the tRNAs corresponding amino acid is attached (by aminoacyl-tRNA synthetases). tRNAs cope with the degeneracy of the genetic code in two manners: having more than one tRNA (with a specific anti-codon) for a particular amino acid; and 'wobble' base-pairing, i.e. permitting non-standard base-pairing at the 3rd anti-codon position.
Source: RNAcentral
AUUCUUAUUAGCUCAAUGGUAGAGCAGAAUACUUCUAAUAUUUAGAUCUAAGUUCAAUGCCUAUUGUUAUAGAAUC